AAUCAAGAAUUAAAAUUAAUAUCCAUUAAUUUUUCAAUGAAAGACCACACGAUUUUAUUUGAAGCAGCUAUUAUUCGAUUUACAAAUGUGAUAUGCGAGACGGACAAUAAAAUAUUUGUGCUGCAUGAAUGUCGCUUGAAGGCAAUAAAGAGAUACAUAACUGUAAUGAACUUCAAUGGCACAUUACUUCAUCCUGUUAACGAUAUGAAAAUAAGAUAUCAACUAAAAAAAAAAGAGAAUGGGUUUAAGCCUUGGCUAUAUGAUAUAAGAGCUGACGUCUGCCUUUUUCUUAAAAAGAAUAACAAUCCCGUUAUUAAAUUAAUAUAUAAUGUGUUCAAGGAUCAUUCAAAUAUUAACCAUACAUGUCCCUUUGUGGGUCCAAUAAUAGUUAAAGACUUAUAUUUGACAACUGAGCGGAUACCGCUGCCGAUGCCAACAGGUGAAUAUUCUAUCGCCAUAAAC
This is a long non-coding RNA of Drosophila albomicans, 462 nucleotides long. RefSeq lists it as uncharacterized. The record is from RefSeq and is a predicted model, not a curated record. The transcript is spliced from 3 exons. Lineage: Eukaryota; Metazoa; Arthropoda; Insecta; Diptera; Drosophilidae.